UGGUUAAUUCGACGCAACGCGCUAGAACCUUACCUGGUCUUGACAUCCCGGGAAUUUCCUUGAAAGAGGGAAGUGCCUCGCAAGAGGAGCCUGGAGACAGGUGCUGCAUGGCUGUCGUCAGCUCGUGUCGUGAGAUGUUGGGUUAAGUCCCGCAACGAGCGCAACCCUUAUCAUUAGUUGCUACGCAAGGGCACUCUAAUGAGACUGCCGGUGACAAACCGGAGGAAGGUGGGGAUGACGUCAAGUCCUCAUGGCCCUUAUGGGUAGGGCUUCACACGUCAUACAAUGGUCGGUACAGAGGGUUGCCAAGCCGCGAGGCGGAGCCAAUCCCACAAAGCCGAUCGUAGUCCGGAUUGUUCUCUGCAACUCGAGAGCAUGAAGUCGGAAUCGCUAGUAAUCGCAGGUCAGCAUACUGCGGUGAAUACGUUCCCGGGUCUU
Molecule: ribosomal RNA, 438 nt
Filed under: uncultured Desulfocapsa sp.
Lineage: Bacteria; Pseudomonadati; Thermodesulfobacteriota; Desulfobulbia; Desulfobulbales; Desulfocapsaceae
Description: bacterial SSU rRNA
Rfam family: Bacterial small subunit ribosomal RNA
Source: RNAcentral